RNAcentral lists this ribosomal RNA (253 nucleotides) under uncultured bacterium. RNAcentral's name for it is "partial 16S ribosomal RNA". It matches the Rfam family "Bacterial small subunit ribosomal RNA", at positions 524 to 776 of the family's 1533-position model. The record is from RNAcentral.
UACGUAGGGGGCAAGCGUUGUCCGGAUUUAUUGGGCGUAAAGAGCGUGUAGGCGGCCAUGUAGGUCCGUUGUGAAAACUCGAGGCUCAACCUCGAGACGCCGAUGGAAACCAUGUGGCUAGAGUCCGGAAGAGGAGAGUGGAAUUCCUGGUGUAGCGGUGAAAUGCGUAGAGAUCGGGAGGAACACCUGUGGCGAAGGCGGCCCCCUGGGCCGGCCCUGACACUGAGACGCGAAGGCGUGGGGAGCGAACGGG